GCUUCCACUGUAACUACACGAGUUGAGGGAGUGACUUCCUCAUCUCCACAUAGGCCAUAUUGUACCUCCAGAGAGCCUACAUCAGCUUCAGCACAGCCUAAACUGGACGGAUGUCAAGCACAUUCUGAAAGCUCAAGCAGAAAGAAGAAAGCUUUAUAUGCAGAACCAACAAGAAGUAGCAUGCUUAGGACUCAGCGCUAUGCAGCAAAGCCUUCUGAACAAAGUCAAAAUGGGCGGCCAUCAUCUCAAAAAAAAGUGUCUCCUGCGGUGGAGAAGACACCGAAAGCUGACAAGAAGAAGGAGAAAGAUCCUUUAGAUAUACCUUCUGCUCAAUGGCUAAAGACUCAUGGUUUGGUUGCUAGGCGACUCACAGUAAUGGAUGCCUUAGCCCCCACAGCUGUUCCUCGCACAACUAAAUACAUUCCAAGUCUAGACAAACAUGUUGUUUCAAAAGUAUUUGAUGAUGUAAGUCUCUCUUUAUGCUGUUUCUGGGAAAAGUNUGAAAUAAUG
Molecule: long non-coding RNA, 510 nt
Filed under: Salvator merianae (Argentine black and white tegu)
Lineage: Eukaryota; Metazoa; Chordata; Lepidosauria; Squamata; Teiidae
Description: lncRNA (ENSSMRG00000022109.1)
Source: RNAcentral